UUUUGAUGAUGAUACAAUAAAAUAAAAAGGGUAAUUUACGUCUGAAAAUUAUUGAUGACUAAAAAGUAUCUGAAAAAA
Plasmodium gallinaceum is the source of this 78-nucleotide small nucleolar RNA. RefSeq annotates it as small nucleolar RNA snoR24. The record is from RefSeq and is a predicted model, not a curated record. NCBI's taxonomy places the organism in Eukaryota, Apicomplexa, Aconoidasida, Haemosporida, Plasmodiidae. The transcript has a single exon.